AGCGAACGCUGGCGGCAGGCUUAACACAUGCAAGUCGAGCGGGCACUUUCGGGUGUCAGCGGCGGACGGGUGAGUAACGCGUGGGAACGUGCCCUCUGGUUCGGAAUAACUCAGGGAAACUUGAGCUAAUACCGGAUACGCCCUUUUGGGGAAAGGCUUGCUGCCGGACGAUCGGCCCGCGUCUGAUUAGCUAGUUGGUGAGGUAACGGCUCACCAAGGCGACGAUCAGUAGCUGGUCUGAGAGGAUGAUCAGCCACACUGGGACUGAGACAUGGCCCAGACUCCUACGGGAGGCAGCAGUGGGGAAUAUUGGACAAUGGGCGCAAGCCUGAUCCAGCCAUGCCGCGUGAGUGAUGAAGGCCUUAGGGUUGUAAAGCUCUUUUAUCCGGGACGAUAAUGACGGUACCGGAGGAAUAAGCCCCGGCUAACUUCGUG
Molecule: ribosomal RNA, 435 nt
Filed under: uncultured bacterium
Lineage: Bacteria
Description: partial 16S ribosomal RNA
Rfam family: Bacterial small subunit ribosomal RNA
Source: RNAcentral